GUGCUCGCUUCAGCAGCACAUAGACUCAAAUUGGAAUGAUACAGAGAUUAGCAUGGCCCCCGAGCAAGGAUGACACGCAAAUUCAUGAAGCGUUCCCUAUUUUU
Molecule: small nuclear RNA, 104 nt
Filed under: Mustela putorius furo (domestic ferret)
Lineage: Eukaryota; Metazoa; Chordata; Mammalia; Carnivora; Mustelidae
Source: RNAcentral